RNAcentral lists this ribosomal RNA (457 nucleotides) under uncultured bacterium. RNAcentral's name for it is "partial 16S ribosomal RNA". It matches the Rfam family "Bacterial small subunit ribosomal RNA", at positions 338 to 794 of the family's 1533-position model. The record is from RNAcentral.
CCUACGGGAGGCAGCAGUGGGGAAUAUUGCACAAUGGGGGAAACCCUGAUGCAGCGACGCCGCGUGAGUGAAGAAGUAUUUCGGUAUGUAAAGCUCUAUCAGCAGGGAAGAAAUAGCGACCUUUGGGUCGCCAGACGGUACCUGACUAAGAAGCCCCGGCUAACUACGUGCCAGCAGCCGCGGUAAUACGUAGGGGGCAAGCGUUAUCCGGAUUUACUGGGUGUAAAGGGAGCGUAGACGGCAGCACAAGUCUGAAGUGAAAUGCCGGGGCUUAACCCCGGAACUGCUUUGGAAACUGUGCAGCUAGAGUGCAGGAGAGGUAAGUGGAAUUCCUAGUGUAGCGGGGAAAUGCGUAGAUAUAUGGAAGAACACCAGUGGCGAAAGCGGCUCUCUGGUCUGUAACUGACGCUGAGGUUCGAAAGCGUGGGUAGCAAACAGGAUUAGAUACCCUUGUAGU